This is a long non-coding RNA of Xenopus laevis (African clawed frog), 495 nucleotides long. RefSeq lists it as uncharacterized. The record is from RefSeq and is a predicted model, not a curated record. The transcript is spliced from 3 exons. NCBI's taxonomy places the organism in Eukaryota, Metazoa, Chordata, Amphibia, Anura, Pipidae.
AUCAGAUCUUUCCUAUCUUUUGGUUUCAGACUCUACUGUUGCGAGUCAGUUGCAACAGGCAGAUGAGAAGAAAGCCAACCUUGUAUCACAAAUCACAGCUAUUAACCAGACUUUAGGACAAACCUGCCGACACUGCCCCUCUGGCUGGAGAAUGGUGAAUUCCUUUUGUUACUAUUUUUCUAGCAAGGACCAGGCCUGGGAGGAGGCUAAACACAACUGUGUCAGUGCAAACUCUGUCCUUCUCAUUCUAGAAGAUGACGUAGAAAUGGUACGAAAAACUGUUGAUAAUAUAUUUUUAUAUGACCACAUUUAUAUUAGAACAGCCUAUUCCUAUGACGGACAAAUGGUUAUGUGUCAGAGUGUAAGAAUAAUAAAGUCUAAUAACAAAUGUCCCUAUCAUUCUGACGCUGCAAUAACCACAUGCCCAAGGCAGGAAAGGUGAAGGGAUGGGUGAUGUUCCCCCAUUUAUUUAUUCUCUUAUUAAUGACACCCUGU